Molecule: ribosomal RNA, 446 nt
Filed under: uncultured bacterium
Lineage: Bacteria
Description: partial 16S ribosomal RNA
Rfam family: Bacterial small subunit ribosomal RNA
Source: RNAcentral
CCUACGGGUGGCAGCAGUCGAGAAUCAUUCACAAUGGGGGAAACCCUGAUGGUGCGACGCCGCGUGGGGGAAUGAAGGUCUUCGGAUUGUAAACCCCUGUCAUGUGGGAGCAAAUUAAAAAGAUAGUACCACAAGAGGAAGAGACGGCUAACUCUGUGCCAGCAGCCGCGGUAAUACAGCGGUCUCAAGCGUUGUUCGGCAUCACUGGGCGUAAAGCGUGCGUAGGCUGUUUCGUAAGUCGUGUGUGAAAGGCGCGGGCUCAACCCGCGGACGGCACAUGAUACUGCGAGACUAGAGUAAGGGAGGGGGAACCGGAAUUGGCGGUGUAGCAGUGAAAUGCGUAGAUAUCGAGAGGAACACUGGUGGCGAAGGCGGGUUCCUGGACAUUAACUGACGCUGAGGCACGAAGGCCAGGGGAGCGAAAGGGAUUAGAUACCCCGGUAGUC